Long non-coding RNA from Mus musculus (house mouse), 1607 nucleotides. RefSeq annotates it as predicted gene, 39613. Lineage: Eukaryota; Metazoa; Chordata; Mammalia; Rodentia; Muridae. The record is from RefSeq and is a predicted model, not a curated record. The transcript has 3 exons.
AGUCUCCCUUUCAGGUAUACCCAGUUCAUCCAUCGCUGGUGAACAGCUACAUGCAUGUGUGUGUGCACAUGCACCUUUGAACAUUUUUGCUGGUUUAUCUCUUUGUAGAGAAAAGAACUAGUAUGUUAUGCUCGUUACUCUUUAACUGUACCUCCCUGGUAUAAUACAAGUAUUCAAGCCAUUUUUACUUGUAUUGACAUUCUGUCUAAACUCCACCCCACAUUUCCUAGCAAAAGCCACAAUUACCUGGUAGCAGCCAGGUAUGUUCCUUCCCACAGUUACCUGGCAACAGCCAGGUAGGUCUGGCCCUAUAAAAGGGGCUGCUUGGCCCCCUCCUCUCUCUCUCUUACCCUCUUAUUUUCUUGCCUCUCUCUUGCUUCUUGCCCCCUUACACCCCAUUCCCUUCAUUCCUCUCUCCACAUGGACAUGGCUGGCCCCUACUUCUCUACUUUCUUCUUCUCUCUGCCUUUCUCUGCUACUCUUUUAAUUCCCCUCCCCAUGUCCUAAAUAAACUCUGUUCUAUAAUAUACUGGUGUGUGUCUGGUCCCUCAGGGGGAAGGAAUGCUUUGGCAUGAGUCUGCUGAGGCACCCCCUUUUCCCACACCCCUCCAGAGCAUAUUCUUACAGCCCUUUAUCUCUUUAAGAUCACAAUAUUGGCACACUGUGACUCAGAUCCAGAAACUCUGUAGGUUUGCCUCCAUUCUCAGCCACAAUCCUGCCUGCUAGCCCAGAUCUGGUAAGUCUCCAUUCCCACUGGUCAGAGUGACCAUCUGCAUGGUCCCAAGGAAGACUUCUUGAUCUCAAAGGUACCCCUAUGCUUUCUCUUGGGUGAGAUUGUCCUGUCCUCUCUCUCUCGUGGCUGAAAAUUCCAGGCCAGGCCUGGAAAACUUCUCUGACUCAGUAGCACCUGCUCUGAGAGUUACAGUUCUUUUCUUGCAGCUGAGAAUUCCAGACAGGGUCUGGAAGGCCCCCGCAUGUCUCUCGGCCUUGGGUCAGUCUGCUAUAGAGGCCUGCUGGUCCAGCUGGCAAGUUUGGCUCUGCCCCUGCCAUGAACCCUGCUUGUUGCCCUCCCCUCUCUCCUUGGCUCUACUCUUCCUGGAAAAGUUAGGUCUGGCCCCUCCCCUUGUAUUCUGCCAGAGGCUCUUACUUCGCCCCCACCUCCCUGCCCACUGUGGGCUACAGCUUCCGACUGCUGACAGGAAAUCCCGCCCCACAGCUUCACAGUCUCUGAGGGUCGUGUGACUUGCGGCAUCUCCCACGUGCACAUGUAACCCAGCCUAAGCCUCUGCCAACCAGACGGACCCAAACCAACCACUCAGUUCCAUAUUUUCUGCUACCAGACUGCAGAAGCCAGCAAACACACACCAGCAUAUUGAUUGGCCUCAGAAGAUGUGGAUGCAGCUACAGGAUGCUGCCUGGAUUGUGAUAUGAUGAUCACUGAAAUAUGCAGUGGAUAAAAACUGGAUACUCUGAGUCAAAUGACUUAGCUAAAAUAAAGGUUCGCCAGAGACAUGUCAACCUCAAUGUCAGCAUGAAGUAGCAAGAUAUCACCGAUGACCCUAUUCCUGCUUCGCCAUCACCUCUUUCUAAUUUUUUUCUUUUUUAAC